RNAcentral lists this ribosomal RNA (459 nucleotides) under uncultured Treponema sp. RNAcentral describes it as "partial 16S ribosomal RNA". It matches the Rfam family "Bacterial small subunit ribosomal RNA", at positions 341 to 792 of the family's 1533-position model. Lineage: Bacteria; Pseudomonadati; Spirochaetota; Spirochaetia; Treponematales; Treponemataceae. The record is from RNAcentral.
ACGGAAGGCAGCAGCUAAGAAUAUUCCGCAAUGGACGGAAGUCUGACGGAGCGACGCCGCGUGGAUGAUGAAGGUCGAAAGAUUGUAAAAUCCUUUUAGGAGUGAAGAAUAAGAGGUGCAGGGAAUGGCAUCACGGCGACGGUAGCUCCUGAAUAAGCAACGGCUAAUUACGUGCCAGCAGCCGCGGUAACACGUAAGUUGCGAGCGUUGUUCGGAAUUAUUGGGCGUAAAGGGUAUGUAGGCGGUCGUGCAAGCUUGGUGUGAAAGGCAGGGGCUCAACCCCUGGACUGCAUUGAGAACUGCAAGACUUGAAUUGCUGAAGGGCAGCCGGAAUUCCAGGUGUAGGGGUGAAAUCUGUAGAUAUCUGGAAGAACACCAAUGGCGAAGGCAGGCUGCUGGCAGAUGAUUGACGCUGAGGUACGAAAGUGCGGGGAGCAAACAGGAUUAGAUACCCUGGUA